Molecule: small nucleolar RNA, 122 nt
Gene: SNORA71
Rfam family: Small nucleolar RNA SNORA71
About the family: The members of this family belong to the H/ACA class of snoRNAs which bind a number of proteins (including dyskerin, Gar1p and Nop10p) to form snoRNP complexes. This class of snoRNAs are thought to guide the sites of modification of uridines to pseudouridines by forming direct base pairing interactions with substrate RNAs.
Source: Ensembl
CCCUGUAUCGAAAGUGUCUGUGGAGUUUGUCUCCAGGUCAUUGAUAAUGCAGGGAUAUGAGUCUGAGAGCCUUUCCCUGUGUGUGGAGGAUCUGUGCCGUCACACCCUGUGGCACUCACACA